UGGGGAAUAUUGCGCAAUGGGCGAAAGCCUGACGCAGCAACGCCGCGUGAGUGAUGAAGGCCUUCGGGUCGUAAAGCUCUGUCGGAGGGAACGAAUGCUCCUGAAGUUAACAGCCUCAGGAGGUGACGGUACCCUCAAAGGAAGCACCGGCUAACUACGUGCCAGCAGCCGCGGUAAUACGUAGGGUGCAAGCGUUAAUCGGAAUUACUGGGCGUAAAGCGUGCGCAGGCGGUUGUGUAAGUCAGAUGUGAAAUCCCCGGGCUCAACCUGGGAAUUGCAUUUGAGACUGCACGGCUAGAGUGUGUCAGAGGGGGGUAGAAUUCCACGUGUAGCAGUGAAAUGCGUAGAUAUGUGGAGGAAUACCGAUGGCGAAGGCAGCCCCCUGGGAUAACACUGACGCUCAUGCACGAAAGCGUGGGGAGCAAACAGGAUUAGAUACCCCAGUAGUCCCUGAGCGGGCUGGCAAGGCGCAU
This 473-nucleotide ribosomal RNA is filed under the name uncultured bacterium. RNAcentral's name for it is "bacterial SSU rRNA". It matches the Rfam family "Bacterial small subunit ribosomal RNA", at positions 355 to 825 of the family's 1533-position model. The record is from RNAcentral.